Molecule: ribosomal RNA, 448 nt
Filed under: uncultured bacterium
Lineage: Bacteria
Description: bacterial SSU rRNA
Rfam family: Bacterial small subunit ribosomal RNA
Source: RNAcentral
UGCCAGACUCCUACGGGAGGCAGCAGUGGGGAAUAUUGCACAAUGGGGGAAACCCUGAUGCAGCGACGCCGCGUGAGUGAAGAAGUAUUUCGGUAUGUAAAGCUCUAUCAGCAGGGAAGAUAAUGACGGUACCUGAGUAAGAAGCCCCGGCUAACUACGUGCCAGCAGCCGCGGCAAUACGUAGGGGGCAAGCGUUAUCCGGAUUUACUGGGUGUAAAGGGAGCGUAGACGGCAUGGCAAGUCUGAAGUGAAAGCCCGGGGCUCAACCGCGGGACUGCUUUGGAAACUGUGUAACUGGAGUACAGGAGGGGCAGGCGGAAUUCCUGGUGUAGCGGUGAAAUGCGUAGAUAUCAGGAGGAACACCGGCAGUGAAGGCGGCCUGCUGGACUGAAACUGACGUUGAGGCUCGAAAGCGUGGGGAGCAAACAGGAUUAGAUACCCGGGUACG